Nerophis ophidion (straightnose pipefish) is the source of this 3007-nucleotide long non-coding RNA. RefSeq lists it as uncharacterized. The record is from RefSeq and is a predicted model, not a curated record. The transcript has 3 exons. Lineage: Eukaryota; Metazoa; Chordata; Actinopteri; Syngnathiformes; Syngnathidae.
UGACGUCACACAGGAGGAAGAACAAAACAAGAUGGCGACUGGCGGAGAAUACGUUGUUUUGGUUAUUAUGGUUUCUAGGUCUUAAUUACAACGUACAUGUGCACGUGUGUGUCGUUUAACGCAGUAAACGUCCUUAUUAAUUGUUUGUAUGCGGAUACAUUAGUCUGAGUGCACUUUGACGUGCUAGCCUAGCCUGCUGGUUAGCUUAGCUUGUUAGCUGCUAACAAAGAGAGGCGGAAGUGAUCGACACAUCAAAGCAGAGAUCCAAUCCGCUUCAAACAGCUCUUCCUAGGGGAACCCGAGGCGUUCCCAAGCGAGCCAGUUUCUAACAUAAUAGUGAGAGUCCAGUCCAUGGUGGGGCCAGCCAGAGACCAUCCCGAGCGCAGACAGGUCAGCAACGCAGAGAUGUCCCCAACCGAUUAACAGACGUCUGUGAAGAACAUCUUCACCCUGAGCAACAGAAGUGGAGCUUCAGGAUGCAGACGGAGGAGCCACAGCCCUCCCACAUUAAGAAGGAAGAGGAAUACCUUCAGAUCCCCCAUUUUAAAGAGGAAGAGGAACACCCACUAAUCCCCAAAUUUAAAGCGGAAGCUGAGGAUCCACAGAGCCCUCACAUUAAGGAGGAAGAGGAAGAACACAGCAUCAGUCAGCAGGGAGAGCAUCUUGAAGGACUGGAGGAGGUUGAUGUCACCAAGAUGCCAGUGACUGGUGUCCCUGUGAAGAGUGAAGGUGAUGAGGUGAAAGGUGAAAGUGAGGAGAGGGGAGGGGGGGAGCCUCCAAGCAGCAGCUCAACACAACACAUGACAACAGAAGCUGAUGGAGACCACUGUGGAGGAUCACAAGCAGACAAGCUCUUAGCUCCACUAUCAGAUAGUGAGGACACAACGUCACACUCUCCUGACACUGAUGAUGAAGACUCUAAAGAUGAUAAGACAUGUCACACUGACAACACUCACUUCACAUCUUCUCACUGUCACAAAACUUUUAAAAACCAUAGUCAUCUGAAAAGACACAUGAGAAUACACACUGGAGAAAAACAUUUUAUCUGUUCAAUAUGUGGUAAAGGUAUUACACAAAGUUGGAGUUUGAAAGUGCACAUGAGAAUGCACAGUGGUAAAAAAACUUUUGUCUGUUCAACCUGUGGUAAAGGUUUUACACAAAGUACAGAUGUGAAAAUACACAUGAGAACACAUACUGGUGAAAAACCUUUUUCCUGUUCAACCUGUGGUAAAGGUUUUACAGAAAGUAAAAAUUUGAAAAGACACAUGAGAACACACACUGGUGAAAAAAAGAUUUUGUUCAAAGUAAACAUUUGAAAGUACACAUGAGAACACACACUGGUGAAAAACCUUUUCCUUGCUCAGAAUGUGGUAAAGGUUUUGUACAAAGUCCCCAUUUAAAAGUACACAUGAGAACACACACUGGUGAAAAACUGUUUUCCUGUUCAAUCUGUGGUAAAGGUUUUACACAAAGUCAUCAUUUGAAAGUACACGCAAGAAGACACACUGGUGAAAAACCUUUUUCCUGUUCAAUCUAUGGUAAAGGUUUUACAGAAAACUGGUGUUUGAAAGUACACAAGAGGACACACACUGGUGAAAAUUCACAUUCCUGUUCAAUCUGCAACAGAAGCUUUAGUGAACGAUCAAGCCUUGUAGCACACAUGAGAAGACACCCAGGAGAGAAAGUGUUGAGUUGCAGUGUGUGUGGUGAAAGAUUGUCUUCUAAGUACCAGUGUAAGAAACACAAGUGUGCUGGUGAGAACAGCAGCAGCAAAUGAAACUGCAGGAUUUGAAAUAAACUGUCCAGACUUUCAUUUUGACUUUCUAACAACAUCAGCACAUAUAACAUGUGUGACAUUGUUGUUUGUCUAACAAUCUGUUUAAUAUGCGCCUACAUUUAUAGAUUAGAUAUUUUAUAUUAAUGCUUUUUUUCAGUCAAGUACAUUCAUUAAUAUGCACCAUUGUGUACUUUUAUUAAAAAAUGGACGGAACAAUUUGAGUAAAAAGCUGAGAGUAAACAGUACAAUACACAUUUUACAUGCAAUAAACAUUUUGUGUGUAUGUAUACACACACACACACACACACACUCAUUUAUGUAUAUAUAUAUAUAUAUAUAUAUAUAUAUAUAUAUAUAUAUAUAAAGAGAGAGAGAGAGAGAGAGAGAGAGAGAGAGAGAGAGAGAGAGAGAGAGAGAGCCUGUAUAUUCAUCAUACAAUUUUAGACUUAAUUAUAUGAAAUAUUGAAGUAUUACAUAUUUGUAUUUGUAAUUGUUGAUAACCCCAUAGAUUAUCACCUUUAUAUGAUAUACAUAUGUACUGGUUCACAUCUGAAACAUCUUCUGGACCACUUCAGGAAGCAUAUUAUUAUUUACUUUAUACAUCAUUUAAACAGUUGUCUUUUAUACAAUUUUAAAAUGUGUCUUUUUAAACCAUUGGUUGGGUCUCUAUAAUCAUUUGUUAUUCAUUAUCGUCAUUACUCUGUAUUAUGAUGAUUGUGUUGUGAUUGUUUUAUAUGUAUGUCUCCAGACCUUUAUGCGGUAUAAAAGUAAGAGAAAAUGGCAGAUUUUUUUUUUUUGUGUGUGAAAGGAUGGUUUUGUUUUUACAAACUUACAUUUGUGGAUGUAUUAUAUAUAUUGUGUUUUAAACAUUUUUUUUAAUGUUAUUUUUGUCUUUUUUAACAUCCCCAAAUCAAUAUCAGUCAAAGUUUGGAGUGUCAGACAAAAGCCAAUAUUGUACAUCAUCCUACAGAGAUUUACUUUGCAUACAUUCUUAAAAUAAAUUGCUUAUUUUGUUUUCCAAUCACAGAUCGAACAAGUGUUGUCUUCAAUUGCAAAACAACAUUCAAAAUAUUACUUUAAGUGGUCAAUUCCAUCUUUUUUUUCCCCUUAAAUUAACUCUUUUGCCUUAGAAAGAAUGGAAACUUUUAAGUUAAGAGUAUUUUUUUUGUUCCAGGUUGUAUUUAAUGACAUCUUCAAAUAAUAAACUAUUUUUAUCAGUCAAUAAGUGCA